RNAcentral lists this ribosomal RNA (489 nucleotides) under uncultured bacterium. RNAcentral's name for it is "partial 16S ribosomal RNA". It matches the Rfam family "Bacterial small subunit ribosomal RNA", at positions 28 to 506 of the family's 1533-position model. The record is from RNAcentral.
GAUGAACGCUAGCGGCAGGCCUAAUACAUGCAAGUCGAACGGGAUCCAGAUCAAAGCUUGCUUUGGUUUGGUGAGAGUGGCGCACGGGUGCGUAACGCGUGAGCAACCUACCCUUGUCAGGGGGAUAGCCCGGCGAAAGUCGGAUUAAUACCGCAUGACAUCAUUGAGAGGCAUCUUUCGAUGAUCAAAGAUUUAUCGGACAAGGAUGGGCUCGCGUGACAUUAGCUAGUUGGUAAGGUAACGGCUUACCAAGGCUACGAUGUCUAGGGGCUCUGAGAGGAGAAGCCCCCACACUGGUACUGAGACACGGACCAGACUCCUACGGGAGGCAGCAGUAAGGAAUAUUGGUCAAUGGACGGAAGUCUGAACCAGCCAUGCCGCGUGCAGGAAGACGGCCCUAUGGGUUGGAAACUGCUUUUAUACGGGAACAAACGUCGGUACGUGUACCGGUCUGAGUGUACCGUAAGAAUAAGGAUCGGCUAACUCCGU